UCUCCACUCUAGACUAUUUGACUUGGGCAGAGCCUUAGCCUCUCGCACCGAGAUCACCUGUUUAUCCCACCUGAAACAGAGGAGAGGGAGUGUGUUGUGAGCAUGAGUAGACAUCUGUGUGUGUGGGAGUUCUAAAUGGCAUGUUAUGGUAUUGUAGGCAUAAACUUCAGAGCUCAGUCAGAGGUCCUCGGAGCGUCCAGCAACGCUGCCAAAAGGUUGAAGGUCAGUUUCCACCUGUUGCAGUCCCUCAGAUAGCAACAUGACACCAGAGAGAGGGGGGAGUGGGAGGAGAGUACAUACCAGCUGUGACAGCAGUAAAUGACGAUAGUCGCUCAUCGAAACUCCAUAUUUGAGUCCAAUCCCAUCAACAUCAAAAUCAAGCGGCGCACCAGGAACUAGUACUAAUCCUAAUGUUGAUGACGAUGACCUUGACACAAGCUUUAGUAGUGCAGAGCCUGUAGACCCACUGGAUGAAAGCUUUCAGCCUGGAAAAAUCUCAAGCUCAACAUCAUCUGACUUUGAAACAAGCCAGGACAGCCAAAGGUAUUUAUGAA
This is a long non-coding RNA of Oncorhynchus tshawytscha (Chinook salmon), 554 nucleotides long. RefSeq lists it as uncharacterized. The transcript has 3 exons. The record is from RefSeq and is a predicted model, not a curated record. Lineage: Eukaryota; Metazoa; Chordata; Actinopteri; Salmoniformes; Salmonidae.